Molecule: ribosomal RNA, 791 nt
Filed under: Amynthas carnosus
Lineage: Eukaryota; Metazoa; Annelida; Clitellata; Crassiclitellata; Megascolecidae
Description: s-rRNA
Source: RNAcentral
CAGUUUGAUUCUGGCUGAAAAAUUAACUAAACACCAACCAAAAUACAUGUAAAAUAUAAUAUACCCGCACUAACUUACACCUAAAUGGUAUAAUAAAUGUAUUAGUAUAUACCCCAUACAACAGAGCGCCACAGUAAGUAAAACUUUUAAAUUUGGUAAAUCAAGAAAAGAGUAUGGUAUAAGGGCUGGCAAAAUUCGUGCCAGCUGCCGCGGUUAGACGAUAGGCCCAAGUUAAUAUAAUAUAAACUAAAUUAAUGAUAAAUUAAAUAACAACAAAAGUCUAAUUUUUAUAGUUCGAGACCUGCCCCCUAUCAAAUAACAAUGAAACCAUGAUCUAAAACAUGGAUUAGAUACCCAUCUAUUCAUGGCAUAAAUAACAGUUGAAUAUUACGAACUAUAGUUUAAAAUUCAAAGAUUUUGGCGGUGUCUUAUAAAACCAGGGGAACCUGUCUCAUAACUCGAUAAUCCACGUAUACCCAACCUUCUCUUGAUAACUCAGCAUGUGUACUGCCGUUGUAAGCAUACCUUUAAAAGACCAGUAUGCCCCUAUGACUAUUGCUAGCUCAUGUACAUCAGGUCAAAGUGCAGCCAAUAAGAAGGAGACGAUGGGUUACAACCCCUAAACAGAAUAUCAACUAAGAAAUAAAAAAUCUUACGAAAGUGGACUUGGCCGUAAUCAAUUUCAAGUUAAAGAAAUGAAUAAUAUCUAAGACAUGCACACAUCGCCCGUCACUCUAUCCCAAAGGUUAGAUAAGUCGUAACAAAGUAGGUGUAAUGGAAAUUGUACCUGU